This 277-nucleotide ribosomal RNA is filed under the name uncultured bacterium. Its description in RNAcentral is "partial 16S ribosomal RNA". It matches the Rfam family "Bacterial small subunit ribosomal RNA", at positions 28 to 297 of the family's 1533-position model. The record is from RNAcentral.
GAUGAACGCUGGCGGCGUGCUUAAGACAUGCAAGUCGAACGCAGUCGCUUCGCAAGGAGCGGCUGAGUGGCGAAUGGGUGCGUAACACGUAGGUGACCUGCCCGGAAGUGGGGAAUAACAGUCCGAAAGGACUGCUAAUACCGCAUGCGGUGCACGGGUUUUGAAGCCGUGUUCCAAAGGUUCGAGCAAUCGAGCCGCUUUCGGAGGGGCCUGCGGCCCAUCAGCUAGUUGGUAGGGUAACGGCCUACCAAGGCGACGACGGGUAGGGGACCUGAGA